AGCAGCCGCGGUAAUUCCAGCUCCAAUAGCGUAUAUUAAAGUUGUUGCAGUUAAAAAGCUCGUAGUUGAAUUUCGGGGUCAGCAGGUUGGUCGUGCCUCUGGUACGCACUGGUUUCGCUGAUUCCUCCUUUCUGAAGAACUGUAAUGUCAUUAAUUUGGUGUUGCAGGGAAACAGGACUGUUACUUUGAAAAAAUUAGAGUGUUUAAAGCAAGCUAACGCUUGAAUACAUUAGCAUGGAAUAAUGAAAUAGGACGUUUGAUCCUAUUUUGUUGGUUUCUAGGAUUGACAUAAUGAUUAAUAGGGAUAGUUGGGGGCAUUAGUAUUCAAUUGUCAGAGGUGAAAUUCUUGGAUUUAUUGAAGACUAACUACUGCGAAAGCAUUUGCCAAGGGUGUUUUCAUUAAUCAAGAACGAAAGUUAGGGGGAUCGAAGACGAUCAGAUACCGUCGUAGUCUUAACCAUAAACUAUGCCGACUAGGGAUCGGAUGAUGUUAAUUUUUUAAUGACUCA
RNAcentral lists this ribosomal RNA (509 nucleotides) under uncultured fungus. RNAcentral describes it as "SSU rRNA". It matches the Rfam family "Eukaryotic small subunit ribosomal RNA", at positions 569 to 1078 of the family's 1831-position model. Lineage: Eukaryota; Fungi. The record is from RNAcentral.